CACCACCAACUCGGCUUCUCCCUGUCUGCACCCAGGUUCACCCUGCUCAGUUCACUCCUGAGGCCCAAUUUGUUGCUCCAGUUUGACCUUCACCGGGCUGAACAGGAGGGCCCUUCCUCACCUCCUUUAUAAUAGCCGCAGGGAAUUGAGUGCCAGGGAAGUUUCUAGGGACUGGGAACACAGCCAUGAACAGCCAAGGUCGUGUUCUCACAGAGGUGACCUUCCUUGGAGAGUGUGUUAGGGUAGGUCAGCUGCUGUGACAAACAUCCCUCAAAUCUCAGUUGUUGAAUAAAAAGAAAAGCAAAAGCUUUUCUUCUUCAGAAAUCACAGCCCACUGCAGCUUGGCAGGGCAGUGCCUCCAGAGAAGCUGAGUUGGUG
This 378-nucleotide long non-coding RNA is filed under the name Marmota monax (woodchuck). Lineage: Eukaryota; Metazoa; Chordata; Mammalia; Rodentia; Sciuridae. The record is from RNAcentral.